This 415-nucleotide ribosomal RNA is filed under the name uncultured bacterium. RNAcentral describes it as "bacterial SSU rRNA". It matches the Rfam family "Bacterial small subunit ribosomal RNA", at positions 107 to 518 of the family's 1533-position model. The record is from RNAcentral.
UGAGUAAUGUAUCGGAACGUGCCCAGUAGCGGGGGAUAACUACGCGAAAGCGUAGCUAAUACCGCAUACGCCCUUCGGGGGAAAGCAGGGGAUCGUAAGACCUUGCACUAUUGGAGCGGCCGAUAUCGGAUUAGCUAGUUGGUGAGGUAAUGGCUCACCAAGGCCGCGAUCCGUAGCUGGUUUGAGAGGACGACCAGCCACACUGGGACUGAGACACGGCCCAGACUCCUACGGGAGGCAGCAGUGGGGAAUUUUGGACAAUGGGGGAAACCCUGAUCCAGCCAUCCCGCGUGUGCGAUGAAGGCCUUCGGGUUGUAAAGCACUUUUGGCAGGAAAGAAACGGCGCGUGCUAAUACCAUGCGCAACUGACGGUACCUGCAGAAUAAGCACCGGCUAACUACGUGCCAGCAGCCGC